Myotis davidii is the source of this 75-nucleotide non-coding RNA. The record is from Rfam. Lineage: Eukaryota; Metazoa; Chordata; Mammalia; Chiroptera; Vespertilionidae.
GACAGUUCUCGGGUGAUGUACCCAGAAAUCGGGCUCCCUCCUCUCUGGUUCUGCAUGCAUCAUCCAAGAACUGCA